This 1545-nucleotide ribosomal RNA is filed under the name Salmonella enterica subsp. enterica serovar Derby. Its description in RNAcentral is "bacterial SSU rRNA". It matches the Rfam family "Bacterial small subunit ribosomal RNA". Lineage: Bacteria; Pseudomonadati; Pseudomonadota; Gammaproteobacteria; Enterobacterales; Enterobacteriaceae. The record is from RNAcentral.
AAAUUGAAGAGUUUGAUCAUGGCUCAGAUUGAACGCUGGCGGCAGGCCUAACACAUGCAAGUCGAACGGUAACAGGAAGCAGCUUGCUGCUUUGCUGACGAGUGGCGGACGGGUGAGUAAUGUCUGGGAAACUGCCUGAUGGAGGGGGAUAACUACUGGAAACGGUGGCUAAUACCGCAUAACGUCGCAAGACCAAAGAGGGGGACCUUCGGGCCUCUUGCCAUCAGAUGUGCCCAGAUGGGAUUAGCUUGUUGGUGAGGUAACGGCUCACCAAGGCGACGAUCCCUAGCUGGUCUGAGAGGAUGACCAGCCACACUGGAACUGAGACACGGUCCAGACUCCUACGGGAGGCAGCAGUGGGGAAUAUUGCACAAUGGGCGCAAGCCUGAUGCAGCCAUGCCGCGUGUAUGAAGAAGGCCUUCGGGUUGUAAAGUACUUUCAGCGGGGAGGAAGGUGUUGUGGUUAAUAACCACAGCAAUUGACGUUACCCGCAGAAGAAGCACCGGCUAACUCCGUGCCAGCAGCCGCGGUAAUACGGAGGGUGCAAGCGUUAAUCGGAAUUACUGGGCGUAAAGCGCACGCAGGCGGUCUGUCAAGUCGGAUGUGAAAUCCCCGGGCUCAACCUGGGAACUGCAUUCGAAACUGGCAGGCUUGAGUCUUGUAGAGGGGGGUAGAAUUCCAGGUGUAGCGGUGAAAUGCGUAGAGAUCUGGAGGAAUACCGGUGGCGAAGGCGGCCCCCUGGACAAAGACUGACGCUCAGGUGCGAAAGCGUGGGGAGCAAACAGGAUUAGAUACCCUGGUAGUCCACGCCGUAAACGAUGUCUACUUGGAGGUUGUGCCCUUGAGGCGUGGCUUCCGGAGCUAACGCGUUAAGUAGACCGCCUGGGGAGUACGGCCGCAAGGUUAAAACUCAAAUGAAUUGACGGGGGCCCGCACAAGCGGUGGAGCAUGUGGUUUAAUUCGAUGCAACGCGAAGAACCUUACCUGGUCUUGACAUCCACGGAAGUUUUCAGAGAUGAGAAUGUGCCUUCGGGAACCGUGAGACAGGUGCUGCAUGGCUGUCGUCAGCUCGUGUUGUGAAAUGUUGGGUUAAGUCCCGCAACGAGCGCAACCCUUAUCCUUUGUUGCCAGCGGUUAGGCCGGGAACUCAAAGGAGACUGCCAGUGAUAAACUGGAGGAAGGUGGGGAUGACGUCAAGUCAUCAUGGCCCUUACGACCAGGGCUACACACGUGCUACAAUGGCGCAUACAAAGAGAAGCGACCUCGCGAGAGCAAGCGGACCUCAUAAAGUGCGUCGUAGUCCGGAUUGGAGUCUGCAACUCGACUCCAUGAAGUCGGAAUCGCUAGUAAUCGUGGAUCAGAAUGCCACGGUGAAUACGUUCCCGGGCCUUGUACACACCGCCCGUCACACCAUGGGAGUGGGUUGCAAAAGAAGUAGGUAGCUUAACCUUCGGGAGGGCGCUUACCACUUUGUGAUUCAUGACUGGGGUGAAGUCGUAACAAGGUAACCGUAGGGGAACCUGCGGUUGGAUCACCUCCUUACCU